GCAGCGCAGGGCCCCGAGGACGGCCUGGCCCGGAGAAAAGAUACCGAAGCUCCAACUUUCCCCAACCCCGCUCCCCUCCUCCUUCCACCCUCCCUUCCCGCCCCCAAAGCUCGGGGGUCCUAUCCCUCCUCCGGUCCGCGGAGUCUCCCGAACCCUGCGGGGACCCGGCGCUCGGCGGUGCCCUCCUGGGGCGCACGGGGCUGGGGCGGGAGCGAGGAGACCAGGUGGGGAGGGGACCCCAGAUCUCAGACGCCAGGGGAGACGGCGUUUCCCGCUGUUCAUUCAGGUUUGUGCCAAAAGGAGCCUCACAGAUGCAGUAUUGGGUUUGGUAGACUCAAAUCGUCUUGUUUUAAUGUAAAUGAAAUCCUUCGACCCAGGCACGAGCGCCCAUCGCGGAGGCCACGAUGCCCGUUUUAUUCCCUCUCCACGGCAAGGAAAAGCAGCGAAAUCUGAGGUCUUCAGAGGUUAACCCUAUCUAGGAGCAGAAUGUGACGCAUUGUAAACAAAUAAAUAUUGAAAACUCGAUGUUAAACACUUUA
RNAcentral lists this long non-coding RNA (539 nucleotides) under Homo sapiens (human). RNAcentral's name for it is "non-protein coding lnc-TMEM18-12:6". Lineage: Eukaryota; Metazoa; Chordata; Mammalia; Primates; Hominidae. The record is from RNAcentral.